Molecule: ribosomal RNA, 301 nt
Filed under: uncultured bacterium
Lineage: Bacteria
Description: partial 16S ribosomal RNA
Rfam family: Bacterial small subunit ribosomal RNA
Source: RNAcentral
CAGUAGCCACGGUAAUACGUAGGUGGCAAGCGUUGUCCGGAAUUAUUGGGCGUAAAGCGCGCGCAGGUGGUUUAAUAAGUCUGAUGUGAAAGCCCACGGCUCAACCGUGGAGGGUCAUUGGAAACUGUUAAACUUGAGUGCAGGAGAGAAAAGUGGAAUUCCUAGUGUAGCGGUGAAAUGCGUAGAGAUUAGGAGGAACACCAGUGGCGAAGGCGGCUUUUUGGCCUGUAACUGACACUGAGGCGCGAAAGCGUGGGGAGCAAACAGGAUUAGAGACCCCCGUAGUCCCUGUCUCUUAUAC